Molecule: long non-coding RNA, 2389 nt
Filed under: Sus scrofa (pig)
Lineage: Eukaryota; Metazoa; Chordata; Mammalia; Artiodactyla; Suidae
Description: lncRNA (ENSSSCG00035005436.1)
Source: RNAcentral
GGGGGAGAGUAGAGGAAAGACAGGAGAUGGUUGUUGGCAAGGGCAGGGCGACCGUCCGGCCGAGGCCCGACGUGCUGGGCUGGGGGGUGGGCGGUGCCCACUUGAAGUUCAAGGUCAUAAACUUAACUGGAGCCAAUCCAAAUCCACUGCCCAAGCAAAAGCGUAUCUAAGAAAAAGAAAAAUAACUCGAAGCCUCCAAGACACAUAAAAUCCAGAAUGGACUGACAACGGUGAAGAAGGGUAGAGCUUUUCAGAAAGAUGACCCUCGAUUCAGGGCUUAGCCAUUCUUGUACAUGGAGCCAAGUUCAUUUUACCCGCAACUGACUUACAAGUGUCUCAUAACUCUGGACUCGUAACGGACACCACAAAAGCCCGUUCAAUGUCCAGUUGCUGGGAUGAGCCUAGUGGACAAAACGUCAAGCCAAUGGCAUGAGGACUGUGGUUUCAAUCAAGACCUGUCCCCCCAGAGCAGGGCUGCCCCAGCCCAUCCAUCUGGCAUCUCCGAGUCUCGGCAUCUUCUCUGAAAAUGAGAAUCAGAAGGUGUGUGAGCAAAGUUUGUUGUGUUAAUCGAAAAUAUGUUAAUUUUCUGCAUUUCAAUAACUUCAAGCUUAGCCUGAGAACCUUCCAAGCUGUAGAAAACCUCCUUGACUAAGAGUCCACCUGCACAAGGACCUCCGCCUUCUGAACACAAACGAGCUGGAAUAGACCAUAAAGAAGGAGGGGGACCCUGGGGCCAGGAAGCUGGUCCUUCACAAGCAGGUCAGUGGUGGGGAUGCAGCUGGGGGCACAUGACACGAUGACAUUUCAUCUGGGUCUGAAAUACUCAGGCCCAGGCCCCUGAGAGUCCUGCAAACAGCGAAUCAGAAGGACCGCAGAGACUGAACAGGUGGUCCCUGAGCAGGUGGCUCUUGGCUGCUUGGAUGAGGGAGGGGAGAGGAGAGAGAAGAUGCUGGGGGCCACCCCAGGGGCCCUGCGCUGGAGACAGGUCCCGGGGCCCAGACUGUCUCACCCGAGAUGCAUCUUCCAUAACCUCCUUGGCAAGUCAGUCCUGAGCAUGAGCCUAGAGAAACCCCUUCACCAGGCCUGCCGUGGAGAAGGCCCUUCAAAGCCUCCCUCAGAAGAACGAGAAGCAUCCAAUGCUCCAUCAGUGGUGCCAUUACUAAUCAAAUUUAAAAGGAUUAAUGAGGGACCUCCCGUCAUGGCGCAGCGGACACGAAUCCGACUAGGAACCGUAAGGUUGUCGGUUCGAUCCCAGGCCCCGCUCAAUGGGUUAAGGAUCCAGCGUUGCCAUGAGCUGUGGUGUAGGUCGUGGACGCGGCUUGAAUCUGGCGUUACUGUGGCUGUGCCACAAGCUGACAGCUAUAGCUCCGAUAAGACCCCGAGUCUGGGAACCUCCACAUGCUGCAAGUGUGGCCCUAAAAAGACAAAAAGACUAAAAUAAAAUAAAAAUAAAACAAAAUAAAAUAAAAAGUUUAGUGAGUAAGUACUUUCACUAUUAGUGAAGGGCAGUGGCAUUCAAGUGUGUCUUUGUCUAGAUUAGAGAAAUAAAGUAGGAAAGCCUCUUGGAGGAAAGAAUGAAAGAUCUGUGUUAUAGUGACAAUGACAGAAAUGAAAAGCAUUUUGCCAAGAUUUUGCACCUGUGACAAGCCAGGCCAAGUCACAGACUUCGAAAAGAAUGGGCUCUUUUGGACGGGCGUGUCUGCACACCGAGGUCUAACCACUGGGGCAGUUCUACCCUAUUAGGUGAAGAAGAAACCCCCUCAUCUUGUUGUGGCUUGUGCCGCCCUGCAGGGCUGGGAUUGGGCAGAGAAAGCCUGUGUUUACGUGCGACUUUAAUUUGAUUUACUGUCCCUGACAAGCCCGCCUGAACCCAGCGCUCUGUCUCAGCAGGGUCCCUGCCUCGCCUCUCCUGCUCUGCAAGAACUCGAAAGCAGGAGCUGGCAGGUGGAUGCCGAGGGGGACUUCGCCUCCCUUCAUGCUUGCCCAGGGCAAGUGGAACCAAGCCCGACUGCUUCAGAACCUUUCCUGGGCACGGGCUAAAGGCGCUUGGUGUCACGGUGUCACUGGAGGUGGCCUGAGGGGCAGACAGAUUCACCAGCGAUGGCUGCAUCUUGGGAGCUCAGCUCUGUGAAGCGGCAGUGUCAGCCCCGUGCGAGCUCCCCGCCAUCUGGGGAGGGGACACUGUGCUUGGAAAGUCAGAAGACAGGAAAGCAUCUGCGCCCUCCUCCUCCCGAGGCCCUCAGUGUCCUGCCUCCUCUCUGAGGCUGUCUGUGUUCAAACCUGCCCUGGGCCCUGUCACCGGAACAAAAGAUGGAAUUUCGCAUUUCUACCUCCUCAUUUCCUAGAAUUUCAGCUGCCUUCAUGGUUCUCCAGAAAAAAAAAAAAAAAA